AUGAGUGAUGCUUCACCCGCUGUGAGUGACAACAUGGGAGACGAACCACUCUCACUGGGAGCUGAAAAAUCUCGCAGCGGCUUCAUGAAGCAAAUAAGUCCACGCCUAAUGCACGUAAGGCCGUCAAGAACUUUGUGGGACUUGUGCUGCUUUGUGUGUUUUAUGGACAGCAGGGCUGAAAAGGAAACAAGUGCCAGCAGCUUUCAGUGGCAACACAAAACUGAGUGA
This 228-nucleotide long non-coding RNA is filed under the name Anser brachyrhynchus (Pink-footed goose). RNAcentral's name for it is "lncRNA (ENSABRG00000015401.1)". Lineage: Eukaryota; Metazoa; Chordata; Aves; Anseriformes; Anatidae. The record is from RNAcentral.